CCGCCAUCAUCCUCGCCGCCGCGGUCUCCUCCCCCCACUCCUGCUUCCCGCCCCUUCCGUGCUUUCUAAGAAGAGCGGGAGAAGGGGGUGGGGCAGGCGACGGUAGCGGCGGUUGGCUGCGGGUGUGGCGCCUUCGGAGUUGAAAAGGCGGAGGGCAGAGAAACCCCCGUUUUUCCCUCCCUCCCCUCCGCGAGAGGCUUUUUUUUUAUAUAUACAAAAGAUCGACUUGUUUUAUCAUCUCUUGACGGCGGCGGAGCAACCGGGAGUCGGAUGUUUUGCCCUGCAGUUCAAGCCGAUUGAUUUUGCAGGUUUGCAUCCAGCUGUGUGAUACUCUGCUGUGCAAAUCCAUGCAAAACUGACUGUGGCAGUGAAAAGGCAAGAAAGUAUAUUAAGUUGUACCCCUUUCUACACAGGUUGGGAUCGGUUGCAAUGCUGUGUUAAAUCUGUGGUAUUGCACUUGUCCCGGCCUGUUGAGGUUGGUGGGGCAAGAAUCUGCAGCAACUUAAGGUCCUUUCUCAGUUAAUUGUUUUGGAGCAGCAGUUGCACUAAUAUAGUGAUCAAUGUAAUUCUUUGCAUCUAAAAUAUUUUUGGUUAAAUGGUGUAAUGAUACUGUGAGUACUUUUUCUUCCACUGUUGGCAAAAUGAGCUUUAAACAUAUAAAGCAACCCUGUAUAACUUAAUACUUUCAAUAAAUCACAAGCUUUAAUAUUAAUAAAAA
Ahaetulla prasina is the source of this 718-nucleotide long non-coding RNA. RefSeq lists it as uncharacterized. The record is from RefSeq and is a predicted model, not a curated record. The transcript is spliced from 3 exons. Lineage: Eukaryota; Metazoa; Chordata; Lepidosauria; Squamata; Colubridae.